RNAcentral lists this ribosomal RNA (253 nucleotides) under uncultured bacterium. Its description in RNAcentral is "partial 16S ribosomal RNA". It matches the Rfam family "Bacterial small subunit ribosomal RNA", at positions 524 to 776 of the family's 1533-position model. The record is from RNAcentral.
UACGUAGGUGGCAAGCGUUGUCCGGAUUUACUGGGUGUAAAGGGCGUGUAGGCGGGUCUGCAAGUCAGAUGUGAAAUUUAGAGGCUCAACCUCUAAACUGCAUUUGAAACUGCAGGUCUUGAGUGAUGGAGAGGCAGGCGGAAUUCCUAGUGUAGCGGUGAAAUGCGUAGAUAUUAGGAGGAACACCAGUGGCGAAGGCGGCCUGCUGGACAUUAACUGACGCUGAGGCGCGAAAGCGUGGGGAGCAAACAGG